Molecule: ribosomal RNA, 253 nt
Filed under: uncultured bacterium
Lineage: Bacteria
Description: partial 16S ribosomal RNA
Rfam family: Bacterial small subunit ribosomal RNA
Source: RNAcentral
UACGUAGGGUCCGAGCGUUGUCCGGAAUUAUUGGGCGUAAAGAGCUCGUAGGCGGUUUGUCGCGUCUGCUGUGAAAUCCCGAGGCUCAACCUCGGGUCUGCAGUGGGUACGGGCAGACUGGAGUGCGGUAGGGGAGAAUGGAAUUCCUGGUGUAGCGGUGGAAUGCGCAGAUAUCAGGAGGAACACCGGUGGCGAAGGCGGGUCUCUGGGCCGAUACUGACGCUGAGGAGCGAAAGCGUGGGGAGCGAACAGG